RNAcentral lists this long non-coding RNA (2178 nucleotides) under Oncorhynchus kisutch (coho salmon). RNAcentral's name for it is "lncRNA (ENSOKIG00005025536.1)". Lineage: Eukaryota; Metazoa; Chordata; Actinopteri; Salmoniformes; Salmonidae. The record is from RNAcentral.
AAACUGUGCCCUACUUCCCUUUGUCUGACCUCUCGAUGACCUUUUAUUCUCUAGUUGACAUUUUCUCUUUGACCCUGUAGUUGGAGCAGAUGCUGGAGGGUAGUGCGGUGAGGGCCCAGAAGCAGCUGGUGUUGUUAGACAGUGAGGAUGGCCCACUACCCCAGGGAACUGUGGAGAGGCUCAACAUGAGGAGCUGGAUCUCCAGACACCUGCACCUCUCCUGCCCAUGCAGGGUCUACUACACAGGCACGCACGCAAACACACACAUCUGAUCUGCCAAAACUGCACAAUCAGACACCACCCAUAACCAAGUUAGAAUUGCCAAAUAACCCCACUGUUAUUUCUAGUGUCCAACCACUAGAAGUGGUGUGUUAAGCUCUUCUGAUUGUCUGUCUCUCCUCUGCAGAUAGAGAUGUACCCGCUUGUGUUCCAAAAGACAGCUGACAGCCAUUCAGACUUUUCACGUCUGCCCAGGGUGCUGACCGGAAAUGCCAUCGCCCUCAUAUGGGGGAGGAGGAGACAGAUACAGGGAACGCUGCAGAGACUGGUUAGUCAUCAGAACCACCAACAUGAUGAAAGCCGAGACAUUACGUCAAUCCACAUUCCUUUAAGUUUGAUGGGGGAGUGUCUCUCGCUGUGGACCUGGUGGGUGGCGUUUCCAUUGGCUCCCUGAUGGGGGCGCUGUACACAGAGGACCACAGCCGCAUGUGAAAGAGGGCAUGAGAGUGGGCCAUGGUGAGAAGAACCACAACACCUCAUCUAGUCUCUUUCUCAGUUUUUCUUUCCUCAAUUCGUUGCGUCCUCCGUCCUCGCCUCCUUCUCAAAAUGCAUUGGAAGAAAAAGUCAAAGGCGAGGGAGAUUGGAUAUUUUGUCCAAAAUACCUUGAAAAGGAGGCAAGGAGGGAGGAUGCAAGGAAUCCAGGAAAGACAAAUGUAGAAAUAUGAAUUUGAUCUUCACUCAACCUUUAACUGUCGCCUAUUGGCAAGUGUUUACAUUUUGGCCAGGAUGGUCUUGUGACUUCAAUGGGACAAAGUGAUCAAAUUAAAGGUGAAUUAUAAGGGUUCUCAUCGAUUUUUUCGCAGUCUUUUUGAUGGUAUGUUGCAGGACAUGACAUCAGAUUUUAAAAAGGUGAUGGACCUGACCUACCCCAUCACUUCUACGUUCUCUGGCGCUGACUUCAACUCCAGCAUUUACAGUGUUCAAGGGCAAGCAGAUUGGUGAGGACGAGACACCUUCACAGCACAGCUGGAGUUAGUCUUGGGACUAACUGGCAGAGAAAGUGAAUGUGAGCCUCUCUCACAGUGCUGUACAGGUGCUGUGUAAACCUAAAUAUAUUUUAUUAAUACACCUUUAAUGGCUUGUGAUAAUUUGCAAUUAAUUUCUAUGACUUGAUAUUUGGGUUCAUAUCGGAGUGAAAGUUGGUUACUACGAAUAUACAAGCCAUUUUUUAAAUAAUUACUUGAAAUGUAUAGGAUUACUUAGGAUGUGUCCCAAAUUGUACCCUGUUCCCUAUUUAGUGCACUGUUUUUGCUCUUUUCAAACGUAGUGCACUGUAAGGAAUAGGGUGUCAUUUGGGACGCAACAACAGGACACUGGAGGUGUGAGCACAGUUCAGCUGUCAGGGUGGUAUUUGACCUUCGACCCCUGUAGAUGUGGCUGCCCUACGUGUGUUGUGUGCAUCAGUGAAGAGCAGUGACUACUGCGAGUACAUCAGACCGCCCACAAACCGCUACCGCACACUGGAGUUUGGCAAGUUCGACAAGAUCCUUGUGAGUCUCACUCCUUGUCUUCGACAUGGGGAGUUGGUCUGUCAUUCAGUGUCUUUUUUGCUUCCUCUUGCUCUCCCUCUUACUCUAGACCACACUUCUUCACACUUCAUCUAUCUUUCCUCCUCCUUAGUCAAAAGUGUGAAAAGGAUUUAAAGGAUUGCCGGAGAUUAGCUACAUUAGAUUCAGCCUUUGUUUGUGUGUGAGAAUGAUGUGUGUGUGCAGGAGGUGGGUUACCAGCAUGGCAACACUGUGUUCGAUGUGUGGAUUCACAGUGGAGUGGUGGAGAUCAUGCUGUAGGACCACCACCAGGAGGAGUCUCGUAACACACACAGCAACAACAAUGUGAGGGAGGGAGUAUCAGGGAGGGAGGGAGGGAGUAUCAGGGAGGGAGAGAGUAUCAGGGAGUGAG